Molecule: ribosomal RNA, 678 nt
Filed under: uncultured Actinomyces sp.
Lineage: Bacteria; Bacillati; Actinomycetota; Actinomycetes; Actinomycetales; Actinomycetaceae
Description: bacterial SSU rRNA
Rfam family: Bacterial small subunit ribosomal RNA
Source: RNAcentral
GACGAACGCUGGCGGCGUGUUUAACACAUGCAAGUCGAACGCUGAAGCCCAGCUUGCUGGGUGGAUGAGUGGCGAACGGGUGAGUAACACGUGAGUAACCUGCCCCCUUCUUUGGGAUAACGCCCGGAAACGGGUGCUAAUACUGGAUAUUCACUGGCCUUCGCAUGGGGGUUGGUGGAAAGGUUUUUUCUGGUGGGGGAUGGGCUCGCGGCCUAUCAGCUUGUUGGUGGGGUGAUGGCCUACCAAGGCUUUGACGGGUAGCCGGCCUGAGAGGGUGACCGGUCACAUUGGGACUGAGAUACGGCCCAGACUCCUACGGGAGGCAGCAGUGGGGAAUAUUGCACAAUGGGCGAAAGCCUGAUGCAGCGACGCCGCGUGAGGGAUGACGGCCUUCGGGUUGUAAACCUCUUUCGCUCAUGGUCAAGCCGCAGCUUUGGGUUGUGGUGAGGGUAGUGGGUAAAGAAGCGCCGGCUAACUACGUGCCAGCAGCCGCGGUAAUACGUAGGGCGCGAGCGUUGUCCGGAAUUAUUGGGCGGAAGGGGUUGUAGGCGGUUGGUCCCUUCUGCCCCUCAAAUCCUCUGGUUUAAUUGGGGCUGCGGUGGUUCCGGCUGUUUUAUUGAGCAGGGGAGAGAGGAAGUCUAGUGAUAGUGAAAACUCUCACUCAGGAGUCACCGUUGU